RNAcentral lists this small nuclear RNA (107 nucleotides) under Propithecus coquereli (Coquerel's sifaka). Lineage: Eukaryota; Metazoa; Chordata; Mammalia; Primates; Indriidae. The record is from RNAcentral.
AUGCUCACUUUGGCAGCACAGUUACUAAAAUCCGAAUGAUACAGUGAAGAUUAGCAUGGCCCCUGCACAAGGAUGACAUGCAAAUUUGUGAAGCAUUCCAUAUUUUU